Molecule: ribosomal RNA, 465 nt
Filed under: uncultured bacterium
Lineage: Bacteria
Description: partial 16S ribosomal RNA
Rfam family: Bacterial small subunit ribosomal RNA
Source: RNAcentral
CCUACGGGUGGCAGCAGUGGGGAAUAUUGCACAAUGGGCGAAAGCCUGACGCAGCGACGCCGCGUGAGGGAUGAAGGUCUUCGGAUCGUAAACCUCUGUCAGCAGGGAAGAACGGUCACGGUGCUAAUCAGCAGUGACUUGACGGUACCUGCAACGGAAGCACCGGCUAACCACGUGCCAGCAGCCGCGGUAAUACGUAGGGGGCGAGCGUUAAUCGGAAUUACUGGGCGUAAAGCGCUCGUAGGCGGUAUGUCAAGUCAAGGGUGAAAGCCCCGGGCUCAACGGGGGAACUGCCUUUGAAACUGGCAAGCUGGAGUGUGUGAGAGGAUAGUGGAAUUCCAGGUGUAGGGGUGAAAUGCGUAGAUAUUUGGAGGAACAUCAGUGGCGAAGGCGACUAUCUGGCACAUAACUGACGCUGAGGAGCGAAAGCGUGGGUAGCAAACAGGAUUAGAUACCCGAGUAGUC